Molecule: long non-coding RNA, 647 nt
Organism: Bombyx mori (domestic silkworm)
Lineage: Eukaryota; Metazoa; Arthropoda; Insecta; Lepidoptera; Bombycidae
Exons: 2
Source: RefSeq, a predicted model, not a curated record
CAAAUAAAACGCAAGCGAUAGUGUAUAAUAUAUAACAAUAAUAUAGUUGAAUAUAAUAGCGUAUAAUGUCGCUUAAACCAAAUAUAUGUUCACCCCUCGAUAUGCUCGUAGGGUCGCCGCACACGGGCUACUAGACACAUCCACAAUCGCCGACACUUGAAGCUAGAAGCGGCUACAAAAGAAGCUGACGCGCGAGACAGUCACUGGUAGUCCAUGUUGGACACUUGCGGUCGGUGGCCGCUACUUUCUUAACCUUCGAUCAACAAUAGUAACUAGAUUUCGGGUCGGUGCAUAAAAUCCGUCUCGUCAAAUAACAGCGCACUUGAAAUGUGAGCUGUUAUUUUGUUUAGUUCACUUCAAACACAGCCAAUGUCAACCCGUCUCACAAUACCGCAGUGUGUAUUCAAAAGUUGCAAAAAUAAGGCCCGAAAAAGCAAUUUAACGGCCGGAAUAUCUUACUUUCGCUUUCCUAGCAAUCACGUGUGCAGAAUGGAUCUCGAUUGUCGCCAGAGAAACAAGAGAUGACUUUUAUAAGCCAGCUAAGAUCUCCGCUUAUUGACACUGGACAUCUUUGCCUUCCGUGCUCACGGCUACUGAAACGUGGCCGAAACAUUGUAAUAAAAAUACCGCGCUUGAAACCGUUUAAA